CAAUGUGCGGAUGGAGACUGGUGACAACUGGUGUCCCUCAGGGCUUCUUUCUGGACAAUGAUGCAGUAUCUGAAGCCCUAAGAGCUAUUUGGAAAUGCUGAGGAACAAUUGAGUAAGCUAAGUGAGCGGUGGUGAGGACAAAGUCUCCAUGACCAUAUGAAAAGAAAAGAUGGGAUUUCCUGAGGUAUCAGCACCUGCACUCCUGCACGUUUUGAUUAGUUUGGCAAGAAAACCUCCUCCAUCUGUCAAGUCUGAGGAAGAUGCUUCUGGAUUAAGCAGCACUGCAGACCAUUUGUCAUGAAAGGCAGUUUCAGAAAGAAGUUGAAAACUUAGGGCAUCAGAAGGCACACAGGUCUGGCUAUGAGAGAAAGACAGUGAGCAAAUAGAUGUCUCUACCAGAAAAGAGGUGUUUACUCUACGCUGUACACAAAGAUAAGAUCCAUCUAGUAAAUAAAGCAAAACCAUGACCCCUCAUUGUGAUAUUUUGAUCAAGGAUAGUUUAGGGAAAUUAUUUCCUGAUCAUAUAUCAAGCAAACUCCACCUUACUUGAUCCAGAUCCAAGCGUGGUUCUAGUACACCGUUACUGAAAAUAUUCCCAUUAGUAGAGCAGGCUCAACAACGUGUAUCCAGAUGUGUAAUUAGUAGCAAUAAGACAUU
This is a long non-coding RNA of Numida meleagris (helmeted guineafowl), 657 nucleotides long. RefSeq lists it as uncharacterized. The record is from RefSeq and is a predicted model, not a curated record. The transcript has 4 exons. NCBI's taxonomy places the organism in Eukaryota, Metazoa, Chordata, Aves, Galliformes, Numididae.